UGAUCCAGGGAGGUAGUGACAAGAAAUAACAACCUAGUCGCAAGACAGUGGAUUGUAAUGAGUGCAAUUUAAAACACUGCACGAGGAACAAUUGGAGGGCAAGUCUGGUGCCAGCAGCCGCGGUAAUUCCAGCUCCAAUAGCGUAUAUUAAAGUUGUUGCAGUUAAAAAGCUCGUAGUUGAAUUUCUAGUCAGUUAAUUUGGAGGUCUCCUUCACUUUAGCUGGCUAUUCGACACUGAACCAUGUCGGUUAUUAAGUUAACCCCAUGGAGAAUUGUCAUUUUACUUUGAAAAAAUUAGAGUGUUUCAGGCAGGCAAUUGCCCGGAUAUCUUAGCAUGGAAUAAUGGAAUAGGACUUUGGUUCAUUUUAUUGGUUAUUGAAUCAGAGUAAUGAUUAAUAGGGACAGUUGGGGGCAUUAGUAUUUAAUUGUCAGAGGUGAAAUUCUUGGAUUUAUUAAAGACUAACUUAUGCGAAAGCAUUUGCCAAGGAUGUUUUCAUUAAUCAAGAACGAAAGUUAGGGGAUCAAAGACGAUCAGAUACCGUCCUAGUCUUGACUAUAAACUAUACCGACUCAGGAUUGGCCAUGUUUAAACUUGGUCAGCACUGUAUGAGAAAUUAAAGUCUUUGGGUUCUGGGGGGAGUAUGGUCGCAAGGCUGAAACUUAAAGGAAUUGACGGAAGGGCACCACCAGGAGUGGAGCCUG
Molecule: ribosomal RNA, 702 nt
Filed under: uncultured apostome ciliate
Lineage: Eukaryota; Ciliophora; Oligohymenophorea; Apostomatida
Description: SSU rRNA
Rfam family: Eukaryotic small subunit ribosomal RNA
Source: RNAcentral